RNAcentral lists this ribosomal RNA (510 nucleotides) under Aethaliopsis melanospora. Its description in RNAcentral is "Badhamia melanospora SSU rRNA". It matches the Rfam family "Eukaryotic small subunit ribosomal RNA", at positions 76 to 540 of the family's 1831-position model. The record is from RNAcentral. Lineage: Eukaryota; Evosea; Eumycetozoa; Physariida; Physaraceae.
UCUCUCUGAAUCUGCGAACGGCUCCGCAAACCAGUUGUAAACCAUAGCAGGCACGCCUUGGGCCGCCGCAAGGCGGUCCUUGGCUAUAAGGAUAACCCUGGUAAUUCUGAGGCUAAUACAUGAACGUAACCCCCGGCCGACGGGCAACUGGAAGCCGGGGACCGUGCGAGUAAGCGCAACGGUUUAUCGGAGUAGUCGCACAGUACGACCACCAUCCAAACGGUAUCUGCUUCGCUGCCUCACGGCGGCUGGUGGUGUCCGGGUGGCUCUUGCAAGGUGCUUCUGACCUAUCAACUAGAUGGCAGCGUAACGGACAUGCUAUGGUGACAACGGGUACAGAGGAUAAGGGUUCGAUCCUGGAGAGUGGGCCUGAGAGAUUGCUCACACUUCUAAGGAAGGCAGCAGGCGCGCAACGUUCCCCUUGGGCAAAGCUCGAGGGCGUUAGGGGACAUAUGAAUGCCUGCCUUAUGGUGGGCAAUUCAAAUGGGUCUGUUCUAAACAGCCUCUCGA